GAAAGCUGGUACCUUCGGUAUCCGCGUUGUAACCUCGAGACACGUUUUCCGUGCGGCGCUAUGGACAAGUUCCUUGGAACAGGACAUCGUAGAGGGUGAAAAUCCCGUACUUGCCAUGGAUGUACCGUGCUUUGCGAUACGUGCUCUAAGAGUCGAGUUGUUUGGGAUUGCAGCUCAAAAUGGGUGGUAGACUCCAUCUAAAGCUAAAUAUCGGGGAGAGACCGAUAGCGAACAAGUACCGUGAGGGAAAGAUGAAAAGCACUUUGGAAAGAGAGUUAAAAGUACGUGAAAUUGUCGAAAGGGAAGCGCUUGAAGUCAGCCAUGCCGCUCAGGACUCAGCCUGGCUUUUGCUUGGUGUAUUUCCUGGUAGCAAGUCAGCAUUGGUUUGGAUCGUCGGAGAAGCAUAGUCGGAAUGUGGCGCCCUCGGGCGUGUUAUAGCCUUCUAUUGGAUACGACGAUCUAGACCAAGGAACGCAGCGCGCCU
RNAcentral lists this ribosomal RNA (484 nucleotides) under Malassezia furfur. RNAcentral describes it as "eukaryotic LSU rRNA". It matches the Rfam family "Eukaryotic large subunit ribosomal RNA", at positions 117 to 607 of the family's 3401-position model. The record is from RNAcentral. Lineage: Eukaryota; Fungi; Basidiomycota; Malasseziomycetes; Malasseziales; Malasseziaceae.